CGUAAACUCCUACGGGAGGCAGCAGUGGGGAAUAUUGGACAAUGGGCGCAAGCCUGAUCCAGCCAUGCCGCGUGAGUGAUGAAGGCCCUAGGGUUGUAAAGCUCUUUCACCGGUGAAGAUAAUGACGGUAACCGGAGAAGAAGCCCCGGCUAACUUCGUGCCAGCAGCCGCGGUAAUACGAAGGGGGCUAGCGUUGUUCGGAUUUACUGGGCGUAAAGCGCACGUAGGCGGACUAUUAAGUCAGGGGUGAAAUCCCGGGGCUCAACCCCGGAACUGCCUUUGAUACUGGUAGUCUUGAGUUCGAGAGAGGUGAGUGGAAUUCCGAGUGUAGAGGUGAAAUUCGUAGAUAUUCGGAGGAACACCAGUGGCGAAGGCGGCUCACUGGCUCGAUACUGACGCUGAGGUGCGAAAGCGUGGGGAGCAAACAGGAUUAGAAACCCCAGUAGUCCC
RNAcentral lists this ribosomal RNA (450 nucleotides) under uncultured organism. Its description in RNAcentral is "partial 16S ribosomal RNA". It matches the Rfam family "Bacterial small subunit ribosomal RNA", at positions 330 to 797 of the family's 1533-position model. The record is from RNAcentral.